GAUGAACGCUGACAGAAUGCUUAACACAUGCAAGUCUUUGGCGAAGCUGUGCUUGCACAGCCUAGCCAAGGCGGACGGGUGAGUAACGCGUAAGGAACUUGCCCUGCAGUCAGGGAUAACAGACGGAAACGACUGAUAAGACCUGGUAAAGUCAGGCGGACUCAUGUCCAGCCUGAUGAAAAGAGAUGCUGCAGGCGAUCCUUGCGUCCUAUUAGCUUGUUGGUGGGGUAACGGCCCACCAAGGCGAUGAUAGGUAGCCGGACUGAGAGGGUGGACGGCCACAAGGGGACUGAGAUACGGCCCUUACUCCUACGGGAGGCAGCAGUGGGGAAUAUUGGAAACUGGGGGCAACCCUGAUACAGCAAUUCUGUGUGCACGAUGAAGGUUUUCGGAUUGUAAAGUGCUUUCAGCAGGGAAGAAAAAAAUGACGGUACCUGAAGAAGAAGCGACGGCUAAAUACGUG
This 463-nucleotide ribosomal RNA is filed under the name uncultured bacterium. Its description in RNAcentral is "partial 16S ribosomal RNA". It matches the Rfam family "Bacterial small subunit ribosomal RNA", at positions 28 to 507 of the family's 1533-position model. The record is from RNAcentral.